Molecule: ribosomal RNA, 404 nt
Filed under: Verrucomicrobiota bacterium
Lineage: Bacteria; Pseudomonadati; Verrucomicrobiota
Description: Verrucomicrobia bacterium partial 16S ribosomal RNA
Rfam family: Bacterial small subunit ribosomal RNA
Source: RNAcentral
UGGGGAAUAUUGCACAAUGGGGGAAACCCUGAUGCAGCGACGCCGCGUGAGCGAUGAAGGCUUUCGAGUCGUAAAGCUCUGUCCUAUGGGAAGAUAAUGACGGUACCAUAGAAGAAAGCCCCGGCUAAUUACGUGCCAGCAGCCGCGGUAAUACGUAAGGGGCGAGCGUUGUCCGGAAUUAUUGGGCGUAAAGAGUGCGUAGGCGGCAAAUUAAGUCAGAUGUGAAAACUAAGGGCUCAACCCAUAGAUUGCAUCUGAAACUGAUAUGCUUGGGUGAAGGGGAAGGAAGUGGAAUUUCUAGUGGGAGCGGGGAAUGCAUAGGAAUUAGGAGGGAAACCCGUUGCCGAAGCGGCUUUCCGGACUUUUUAAUACGCUCAGGUACGAAAGGCUGGGGGGCAAACAAG